CGGGUGCACUGAUCCAGCCGGGCCUUUCCCUCUGUGGAACCCCAUGGCCUUCACUGGCUGUGGCGGGGAAACAGGACUUUUACUUUGAAAAAAUUAGAGUGCUCCAGGCAGGCCUAUGCUCGAAUACAUUAGCAUGGAAUAAUAGAAUAGGACGUGUGGUUCUAUUUUGUUGGUUUCUAGGACCGCCGUAAUGAUUAAUAGGGACAGUCGGGGGCAUCAGUAUUCAAUUGUCAGAGGUGAAAUUCUUGGAUCUAUUGAAGACUAACUACUGCGAAAGCAUUUGCCAAGGAUGUUUUCAUUGAUAAGGAACGAAAGUUAGGGGAUCGAAGACGAUCAGAUACCGUCGUAGUCUUAACUAUAAACUAUGCCGACUAGGGAUCGGACGAUGUUAUUCUUUGACGCGUUCGGCACCUUUCGAGAAAUCAAAGUGCUUGGGCUCCAGGGGGAGUAUGGUCGCAAGGCUGAAACUUAAAGAAAUUGACGGAAGGGCACCACCAGGGGUGGAACCUGCGGCUUAAUUUGACUCAACACGGGGAAACUCACCAGGUCCAGACACAGUGAGGAUUGACAGAUUGAGAGCUCUUUCUUGAUUCUGUGGGUGGUGGUGCAUGGCCGUUCUUAGUUGGUGGAGUGAUUUGCCUGCUUAAUUGCGAUAACGAACGAGACCUUAACCUGCUAAAUAGCCCGUACUGCUUUGGCAGUUCGCCGGCUUCUUAGAGGGACUAUCGG
Molecule: ribosomal RNA, 729 nt
Filed under: uncultured eukaryote
Lineage: Eukaryota
Description: SSU rRNA
Rfam family: Eukaryotic small subunit ribosomal RNA
Source: RNAcentral